Molecule: RNase P RNA, 381 nt
Filed under: Octadecabacter sp.
Lineage: Bacteria; Pseudomonadati; Pseudomonadota; Alphaproteobacteria; Rhodobacterales; Roseobacteraceae
Description: RNase P RNA component class A
Rfam family: Bacterial RNase P class A
About the family: Ribonuclease P (RNase P) is a ubiquitous endoribonuclease, found in archaea, bacteria and eukarya as well as chloroplasts and mitochondria. Its best characterised activity is the generation of mature 5'-ends of tRNAs by cleaving the 5'-leader elements of precursor-tRNAs. Cellular RNase Ps are ribonucleoproteins.
Source: RNAcentral
GCGGAGGAUUGGAUGGCCGAGGCAGGGUUCGCCCUGUCUAGGAAAGUCCGGACUCCAUCAAGGCACGGUGCCGGGUAACGCCCGGGCGGGGUAACCCGACGGACAGCGCCACAGAGAACAGACCGCCCAGUAUACUGGGUAAGGGUGAAACGGUGGAGUAAGAGCCCACCGCAGCGGUGGUAACAUCGCUGGCAUGGCAAGCCCUACCGGGAGCAAUGCCAAAUAGGGGCCGCGUGGGGAAACCCAGGAUCGUCUUGAUCCGAGCAGGUCCGGGUUGGCAGCUAGAGGGCAUAUGGCAACAUAUGCUUGAGAUGAAUGGUCAUCGAAGUUGGGGCUAUGGCCUCAACGGAACAAAAUCCGGCUUAUAGAUCCUCCGCGUAU